GACGAACGCUGGCGGCGUGCUUAACACAUGCAAGUCGAACGGUGAAGCCCUUCGGGGUGGAUCAGUGGCGAACGGGUGAGUAACACGUGGGGAAUCUGCCCUGAACUCUGGGACAAGCCUUGGAAACGAGGUCUAAUACCGGAUACGACCUUCUCCUGCAUGGGGGUUGGUGGAAAGCUCCGGCGGUUCAGGAUGAUCCCGCGGCCUAUCAGCUUGUUGGUGGGGUAAUGGCCUACCAAGGCGACGACGGGUAGCCGGCCUGAGAGGGCGACCGGCCACACUGGGACUGAGACACGGCCCAGACUCCUACGGGAGGCAGCAGUGGGGAAUAUUGCACAAUGGGCGGAAGCCUGAUGCAGCGACGCCGCGUGAGGGAUGACGGCCUUCGGGUUGUAAACCUCUUUCAGCAGGGAAGAAGCGCAAGUGACGGUACCUGCAGAAGAAGCACCGGCUAACUACGUGCCAGCAGCCGCAGUAACAC
RNAcentral lists this ribosomal RNA (481 nucleotides) under uncultured bacterium. RNAcentral describes it as "bacterial SSU rRNA". It matches the Rfam family "Bacterial small subunit ribosomal RNA", at positions 28 to 526 of the family's 1533-position model. The record is from RNAcentral.